This is a small RNA of Sphingomonas sp. Root710, 77 nucleotides long. It matches the Rfam family "Makes More Granules Regulator RNA (mmgR)". From Rfam's summary of the family: SuhB later renamed mmgR (makes more granules regulator) was a putative non-coding RNA found multiple times in the Agrobacterium tumefaciens genome and related alpha-proteobacteria. Other non-coding RNAs uncovered in the same analysis include: speF, ybhL, metA, and serC. The record is from Rfam. NCBI's taxonomy places the organism in Bacteria, Pseudomonadati, Pseudomonadota, Alphaproteobacteria, Sphingomonadales, Sphingomonadaceae.
GGGACGGGCCUUUCAGGCAUCCUCUCCUAAUGACUUAAGGGCUGGUUCUCGCGAACCGGCCCCUUUUUUUGUCCGCU